UUACUAAUAUGCCCUUCAUUUUAUUUUUCUAUUCUGUUUUGCUGAGCUGUCAGCUUUGUUAGUGGUGUGCUGUUAGCUUGUUAUGCGCCUCACACCUUUUCUGUUUUGGAUUCAUGCUAUAUAUAGUAGCUCUUGUAUUACUGUUCAUCAUAUAAUACAAUGAGAGUUUCUUUUCAUUCUCUCUCUUUACCUAUUUCUAUCAUGUUAUACAGAGCUUAAAUUUUUUCCGAUCCAUGGAUCUUUAUUCCCUUCCUCUCAGGUGAACUUUCUCACCUAAUUUCUGUUAACUUGACGACAAGAACUUCAAACAGUGGAAGCAGCAGAUUGAUGGCGUCGUCCGUGGUCAUCGUCUUCAACGCUUUGUCACUGUUCCGGUGAUCCCGUCACCGUCUCCCUCAGAUCCUGCAUCUCACAGUGCGUUUCUUGAGUGGGACAGCAGGAUGCUCUCAUCUGCACCUGGCUUCUCUCUACUAUCUCCGAUGCUCUCCUUCCUAAGCUCGUUGACUGCAAGCAUGCGUGGCAGUGUGUGGACAGAAGUUCAUCGCUACUUUGAUGUUCUUCUCUCCACCAAGGUCGUCAACUUCGUUCAGAAUCCGGCGUCUUACGAAGGGUUCACUAACUUACUGAGCUUAUGACGCGUUCUCGUGACAUCAGUGAGUCGCUAACCUCCAUCGGUGAUCCCGUUCCUCUUCGUAACCUAAUUGAGAUUGUUCCGAUUCGUUACCUGAGGAUUAUGAUUCUAUUGUCGCCGCGUUAACAGCAAAGAUGACGUUAGCUCCUUGGAAGAGUGGAGUCUUCCUUGCUUGCUCAUGAGUGCGAUUGGAGAAGCAUCGCAAAGCUGCGAUUACAGAACCUGCGACGGCGACGGUCAAUCUCACUCAAGCAACACCUUCUCCUACUCCAGGCGCUUCUGAUCAAGUCGUCUCCGAGGCGUUUCCUCAAGAACGAGUCACGUCACCGCUAAUGCUGAAAAUCAUUCCUAUGGUGCACGUGGUGGUCGUUUUGGUCGUGGAGGAGGUCGUUUUGGGAAAUCACCGUGUCAGAUUUGUCACAACCUGGUCAUGAUGCCUCUGUAUGCUACUAUCGUUAUGCCAAUUCCAGUGUGCUAGUUAUCCACAUCAUCGAGCUCCCUUCAAUCCUUUUCACGUGGCUCCUCGUGCUGUUAUCCUGUGCCGCUUGCUUAUGCUUCUCCCAGAGCUGCACCUCCCAGAUCUUCUGCACCACAAGCCUUUUAUGCAGGUACUGAAGCUAGCAGUGCAAACCAGUGGUGGUAUCCUGACUCAGGAGCUUCUCAUCAUGUUACUCCUGAUGCCUCUAAUGUGUCUGACUCUGCCUCCGUGCCUGGAACUGAACAAGUUUUCAUAGGUAACGGCCAGGUUUGCCAUCAACUCUGUAGGUUCUAUGUCUUUUCCCUUACCCACAAACCUCAUCUAUCUCUCACUCUUAACAAUCUCUUACAUGUCCCUCACAUCACCAAAAACUUAUGAGUGUGAGCAAUUUGCUCAAGAUAAUUCUGUUAUUUUGAAUUUCAUCCUAAGUUUUUGUGUUGUCAAAUCUCAGGCUACUUCUGAAGUCUUACUCAGUGGUUUGUUGGUGCUGAUGGCCUCUAUAAAUCUCCAAUCCAGCUGCUCCUCCGUUGUCCAAGUUUCUUCCCUCUUAUAGUUCUAGUCAUAGUUAUCCUGCAACAUACAAUUGUAAUGGUUCCUAUAGGACAGAUGUACAGAUUCUAUAUCUCAGUGUACUGAAUCGGUUGCAAUCAUACUAUAAAUCCUUGUCUUCUUGUAAUGAAUCUUGCAAUUAUAAUGUUACAAGUACCUUUUUCAAUCCUUCUCUAAACUCUGUCAGUACUGUUUUACCUUCCUCACACUUUAAUGCUGCAAAUUCUAUUGCAUCAAUAAAUAUGUGCUUUGGCAUACUAGGCUGGGACACCCCAAUCAUCAUGCCCUCACUGAAUCUUCAAACUGUGUAAUCAGUCCUUUCCAUCUAAACCCCUGCUGAGUUAUGUCAUGCUUGCUGCAUUGGCAAGUCUCAUAGAUCUCCUCUUCUUUAUCUACCACGUUUACUCUCAUCUUUUGAGCUGGUUGUAUGUGAUCUCUGGGUCCUGCCCUAUGCAUCUUCCAGUGGUUAUACCUAUUUCCUAACCUGUAUUGAUGCCUUCUCUAGGUUUGUUUGGGUUUUUCCUCUCAAACUUAAGUCUGACACCAUGGUUCAGUUUCUUCAGUUUAAAAAAUGGUUGAACUUCAGUUCAAUUGUCCCAUUAAUGUGUCAAACUGAUGGGGGAGGUGAGUUUAGGCCUCUUACCAAAUAUCUCACAGAUUUAGGGAUUGUUCCAGAUUCACUUGUCCCAUACACAUCACCAAAUGGCCUUGUUGAACGUAAGCACAGGCCAUUGUUGAGACUGGCCUCACACUCCUUGCUCAGUCCACCCUUCCUUAAAAUUCUGGGAUCAUGCAUUUGUCACAGCUGCAUAUCUCAUUAACAGACUUCCUACACCUAUACUUGACAAUGUCUCACCUUAUUUUAAAUUACUUCACAAAAACCUGACUAUACUACCCUUAAAGUCUUUGGCUGUGCUUGUUAUCCUUUCCUUCGUCCCUAUAAUUCUCAUAAACUUGAUUUUAGAUCUCAACUGUGCAUUUCUCUUGGAUUCUCUACUCUCACAAAGGCUAUAAAUGCCUUGCUUCAGAUGUUCGCAUUUUUAUUUCCAAGGAUGUUGUUUUUAAUGAAGCAAUUUUCCUUAUUCCACCUUGGUUUCUUCUUCAAAUCUGUUCUCUUUCCUAACACUCCAUCCUCUUCCUCUCCCUCUCUCAGUUUUCUCCUGUUCCCUCUACUCCCUCUACUUCUAAUCUGUCUUCUAUGGCUCUUCUUCCUCAAUUCUGCUUUUCCUCAACUAGCAGUCCCACUAUUCCUAAUAUUUCUCCAAUCUCUUCUUCCUCUUCCUCUGUCUGCUCCCUCUAACUACUCUUAUUCUUCUGGUCAGCAACCUAUCCCUCAACCUCUCACUGCAUUCCAUUACCUCUUCUCCUUCUUCCUCUCCUGCCCUCAUUCUCUGAUCCAGCUGAAGCUCACUCUCUUCUCCUCCUUUCAUAUUCCUCUCCUUCAGUUGGUCCCUCCCUGGCCCUAGUCCUAUUUCCCACCUGCUGCCACAGCUUUACUUCCAUUCACCUCUCAAACAUUCACCCUAUGCAAACUAGAGCAAAAGAGGAAUCACCUUCCUAGACUUCACCCUACUCUAUUAACAGCCCACCUUGUACCUACAUCUGUUGAACAAGCCUUGGCUGCUCCUAACUGGUUUCAAGGCCAUGAAGGAAGAACAUCAGGCACUGCUGAGAAAUCAGACCUGGACUUUGGUGAAAGCUCCUGCUGGAAGGAAGCCUAUUGGAUGUAAGUGGGUUUCAGGACUAAGGAGAAUCCUGAUGGUUCAUAAACAGGUAUAAAGCCAGAUAGUGGCAAGGGUUCCAUCAAAAGGCUGGUAAUGAUUUUCAAGACUUUCUCUCCUGUCAUUAAACCUGUCACUGUGAGAAUUGUUCUUUUCUAUUGCUGUUACAAACAGGUGGCCAUUGCAGCAGAUUGAUGUUAACAAUGCCUUCCUCAAUGGCACUCUUGAAGAAGAAGUCUUUAUGCAACCCCCCUGGCUUUGAAGUUGCUGACAACACUCUUGUUUGCAAUUAAAUAAGGCUAUUUAUGGUUUAAAACAGGCUCCUAGGGCCUGGUUUGAUAAGCUAAAGUGUGCCUUGGUUCAACUCCGGGUUUAAGGCUAGUAGAUGUGAUCCUAGCUUGUUUUUGUUGCAUCAAGGUAAACUUCAGAUUCUAAUUCUGGUCUAUGUAGAUGAUAUAAUCAUCACGGGUAGUUCUGCUCCUUUUAUAGCUUCCUUGAUCAAGCAUCUCAAUAAUUCUUUCUCUCUCAAACAGCUGGGCACCUUGAUUAUUUUCUAGGAUUCAAGUGACUCAUCUCCCUAAUGGUUCUCUUCUCUUAUCUCAGACUAAGUACAUCACAGAUUUGCUUUCAAGGCUUAUAUAUGUUGAAUGCCAAUGGCAUGCCUACUCCCAUGAUCUCUAGCAGCAAAUUGUCCAAGGUUGGGUUGCUGCGGUUGAUGACCCUACUCAGUUUCGGUCUGUGGUGGUGCCUUCAAUAUGCUACCUUAACUAGGCCAGAGAUCUCUUUUUCAGUCAACAAAGUCUGUCAGUUUUGUCCAAUCCUUUAGAGGAUCAUUGGAAGGCUGUUAAAAGAAUCUUAAGGUACCUAAGUGGUACUCUCCCAUUCCUUCUUCCUUCAGCCUGCUCCUAUUCAGCAACCAAUGCAGUUGCUAGGGUUCUGUGAUGCAGACUGGGCAUCAGACCCUGAUGACCGGAGUCUACUUCAGGGCCUGCAUAUAUCUUGGGCCUAAUGUUGUUUCCUGGUGGUCCAAAAAGCAACAGCUUGUUGCAAGGUCCAGUGCUAGGCGGAAUAUCGCAGUAUGGCUCAGCUAGCUGCUGAACUCAUUUGGAUUCAGUCCUUGCUUAAGGAACUCCAUUAUUCCUCUCAAUUUCCCAGAUCUUGUGUGAAUACUUGAGCCUGUUACUUUGGCUCACAAUCCUAUUCUUCACACAGGACUAAGCAUAUGGAGCUUGAUAUUUUCUUUCUGCGAGAGAAAGUACUCAGCAAAAGUCUGACUGUUGUUCAUGUACAGCUCAAGAUCAAUGGGCUGACAUUCUCACUAAGCCCUCUCUGCUGGCCAAGUUUGUCCUCUUCGUUCCAAGUUGCGUGUGUAUGAAUAAGGCUACUUUGACAUCUGCCAUCAGCUUCUAAGGGGACUAAUAGAGUAGUUACUAAUAUGCCCUUCAUUUUAUUUUUCUAUUCUGUUUUGCUGAGCUGUCAGCUUUGUUAGUGGUUGCUGUUAGCUUGUUAUGCGCCUCACCACUUUUCUGUUUGGAUUACAUGGCUAUUAUAGUAGCCUCUUGUAUUACUGUUCAUCAUAUAAUACAAUGAGAGUUCUUUUCAUUCUCUCUCUUUACCUAUUUCUAUCACUGAAUGUAUCCGUAUUUGUCAACUACUGACUCAAUCUAGAAGUCAAUGCUCAGAAGUUU
This 5067-nucleotide long non-coding RNA is filed under the name Lathyrus oleraceus (garden pea). RNAcentral's name for it is "Pisum sativum (pea) long non-coding RNA (PSAT_LNC009317)". Lineage: Eukaryota; Viridiplantae; Streptophyta; Magnoliopsida; Fabales; Fabaceae. The record is from RNAcentral.